AGAGUUUGAUUCUGGCUCAGAACGAACGUUGGCGGCGCGUUUUAAGCAUGCAAGUCGAGCGGCAAGGGUCUUCGGGCCCCUAGAGCGGCGGACGGGUGAGUAACACGUGGACAAUCUGCCCCCCGGCCGGGGAUAGCCCAGGGAAACCUGGAUUAAUACCGGAUGAGACGGGACCCGCGGAGGCGGGAUCCGGGAAAGGCGCUGCGGCGCCGCCGGGGGAUGAGUCUGCGUCCCAUUAGCUUGACGGCGGGGUAACGGCCCACCGUGGCGACGAUGGGUAGCCGGCCUGAGAGGGUGGACGGCCACAUUGGAACUGAGACACGGUCCAGACUCCUACGGGAGGCAGCAGCUAAGAAUCUUCCGCAAUGGGCGAAAGCCUGACGGAGCGACGCCGCGUGAACGAAGAAGGCCGUGAGGUUGUAAAGUUCUUUUCGGGAGGGGGAACAACCGUGGCAGGGAAUGGCCGCGGGAUGACGUGAAUCCCGGAAUAAGCCCCGGCUAACUACGUGCCAGCAGCCGCGGUAACACGUAGGGGGCGAGCGUUGUUCGGAAUCAUUGGGCGUAAAGGGCGUGCAGGCGGUCCUGCAAGUCCGGCGUGAAAGACCCCGGCCCAACCGGGGGGGCGCGCUGGAAACUGCAGGGCUUGAGUACAGGAGGGGAUGCCGGAAUUCCAGGUGUAGGGGUGAAAUCUGUAGAUAUCUGGAGGAACACCAAUGGCGAAAGGCAGGCAUCUGGCCAUGUACUGACGCUGAGACGCGAAGGUGCGGGGAGCAAACAGGAUUAGAUACCCUGGUAGUC
Molecule: ribosomal RNA, 798 nt
Filed under: uncultured Sphaerochaeta sp.
Lineage: Bacteria; Pseudomonadati; Spirochaetota; Spirochaetia; Spirochaetales; Sphaerochaetaceae
Description: bacterial SSU rRNA
Rfam family: Bacterial small subunit ribosomal RNA
Source: RNAcentral